Molecule: long non-coding RNA, 813 nt
Organism: Chinchilla lanigera (long-tailed chinchilla)
Lineage: Eukaryota; Metazoa; Chordata; Mammalia; Rodentia; Chinchillidae
Exons: 5
Source: RefSeq, a predicted model, not a curated record
GAGACUGAGCCAGAGGCCCUGUGGAGCUCUUCCGAGUUCCUGACCCCAGGAAACCAUGAGGCUCGGCAGCGAGAGGCCUCAGACAGUUCAGAGGGAGCCAAUGGAAUGAACAGGAUGCUGGGUCCGAUGCAGCAAGAAAGCCUCCAGAUGCUGGUGUUGUGCCAUGAGACUUUCCACCCUCCAGAACGGCCAUGAGAAGAUGCUUUCAUUCCAGAGGCCUCAGGCUUCCAGAAACUUCCCCAGCCCCUGGUGCCAUGGGGGUCACUACCUCUGGAGAGUGAUCAGGUCACCCUUUGGGCAUCAUACUUGACACCGCUACUUCCAGCACACAGUGAGUAUAGACCAGAUGAUCAGCUGACCAACAAAGCUUCAAGUUUUCCUUACAUGAUGUGGUGGUGGUGUUGAGAAGUACCUUCCCCAAGGAACAACAUUUCCCAGCAUCCCUUGCUAAUCAUGUGACCAGUAUUUACCAAUGCAUUGUGAGCCCAAAGGUGCCCAGCCCUGUCAGUAUGGUGUGUUAAGUAGCAAGCAAGAUAUCUUCUCUUUUUCCCAGUCUGUUCUUUGGAUGACACCAGGAUGACCUUCAAGUCACAAGAUGGUGGGGGAACCCUAAGACAGAAGAGACUAAUGUCUUAGAGCAGCCAUUGGAGGAAAGCUACCCAGGAGAGCCACGGGUCAGGAACGUGGACAUUCAACUGUGUGUGAGGGAGAAACAUACAUCAACGUUUAAAUAUACAAAAGAAGUAGAGAGCAUAAUAUAAUAACUCAGUUUAGCCAUCCGUCAUUUAACUUCAAAAAAUUAUCACCUUUUCC